CCUUCCUUCCCGGAGGACGAGGAACUUGGUGCUAGAAAGGUGAAGGCCCAAGGGCCGACCAUCCGCACUGGUUCCUCAGUCGCCCCUCCCCACGCCCUGUCGCCUAUUUACUUGUGCGGGCUGUGCAGUGUCCGGCUCCUUGGGGCAUGAUGUCAGGGUGGUGCUGGGGAAGGUGCCCUCUCACUGCCGACCUAUGUAGCGGCAACCUCCGGCCUCCUUUGGUUGCUGCUCGGACGUUCUUGGCUCCGAGCGGCCUCAGCUGUGGAAAGCCAUUUGGCCAAGCACUUCUAAACCCCUCCUUCUAACAUCCCUAAUCCUCUCAUCUGCCCUGGAAGGUGGUAUAACGGCUACCCCUGGAGAGGCUAAGUAACUCGCCCUAGGCCACAGAACUUAAAUGGCGGAAUAGGAGGUUCGCCCCGAGCCUGUUCGCAUCUAAAGCUCUUUGCAUAAGUUCCAUCGCCUUCCUCACAGCUUAGUGAAGACAGGGCAGGCGCUGCGGAUCUUAGGCUCAUGCUUUGCCCGGCGGUACCGACUAGCGCUGCUUUAGGCCGGCGCGCAGACGCCCAACUCCGCGUCCCCUGCGCGCUCAGCCGGCCGGUCUGGCCUGUUUAAGGAGCGAGCCCGGCCCGUCUCCCUUCGCCUUUCCGCCUUCCUUUCCCCGGCCCUUCCUUAGGGGACUGACAGCGCGCGCGCGGUCGCGGAGGCCGCGGGCGAGUGGGUGGAGUUUGCUGCGCGGCGGCGCCGGCCGCAGCUAGUGGGUCCCGGUGGGCUCUGGGGCGGGGCUGCGGGGGUGCGCGGACCGGCCGAGCGACCCUGCCGGGAUGGGGAGUGUGACUGCUCCGUCAGGGGCCUGCGCCGUGGAGAGCGGCUCCGCGACCACCGCUGGCCAGAGCCCCGCCGUCUUCUGCUAGAGAUGCUCUUCCUCUCGUUUCAUGCAGGCUCCUGGGAAAGCUGGUGCUGCUGUCUGAUUCCAGCAGACAGACCUUGGGACCGGGGUCGGCGUGGGCGGCUGGAGAUGGCGGACACCAGAUCCGUGCACGAAGCCAGGUUUGAGGCGGCGGUGAAGGUGAUACAGAGUUUGCCAAAAAAUGGUUCCUUCCAGCCAACAAAUGAAAUGAUGCUCAAAUUCUAUAGCUUCUAUAAGCAGGCAACUGAAGGACCCUGUAAACUUUCAAGGCCUGGAUUCUGGGAUCCUAUUGGAAGAUAUAAGUGGGAUGCUUGGAGUUCAUUGGGUGAUAUGACCAAAGAGGAAGCUAUGAUUGCAUAUGUUGAAGAAAUGAAAAAGAUUCUUGAAACUAUGCCGAUGACUGAGAAAGUUGAAGAACUGUUACAUCUCAUAGGUCCAUUUUAUGAAAUUGUUGAGGACAAAAAAAGUGGCAGAAGUUCUGAUCUAACCUCAGUCCGACUGGAGAAAAUCUCUGAAUACUUAGAAGAUCUUGGUAAUGUUCUAACUUCUACUCCAAAUGCCAAAACUGUUAAUGGUAAGGCUGAAAGCAGUGAUAGUGGCACUGAGUCUGAGGAGGAAGAGAUCCAAGAAGAAGGAAAAGGAACAGAACAAAGUGACAAUGGGAAGAAAAUGGUGAAAUCCACAGACGAAGAGAAUUUAGAAAUCAUUGUCACUAAUGGCUGUGACAGAGACAGCUUUGUUCAAGAUACACAGAAUGACAUUCAUGCCAGUUCUUCCCUGAAUGGCAGGAGUGCUGAAGAAGUAAAGCCUGUAGUUGAAAGCUUGGAGCAAACUGGAAAAACUACUGUCUGCCUUCACCGAGAUAUAAAUGAUGAUCAUGUUGAAGAUGUUUCUGGAAUUCAUCAUUUGACAAGUGAUUCAGACAGUGAAAUUUACUGUGAUUCCAUGGAACAAUUUGGACAAGAAGAGUCUUCAGACAGCUUUACAUCGAACAAUGGACUACGUCAAUAUUACUUGGGUGGUGAUCCCAAUCAGCCCUUGGAAAAUUCUGAUUUUCCUGAAGAUUUCCAAGUAUCUUCCAGAAAUGGAAACACUGGGGAUAUGCAGGUGGUAGCAGUUGAAGGAAAGGGUGAAGUAAAGCACGGAGGAGAAGAUGGUGGAAAUAGCAGUGGAGCCCCACCCCAUGAGAGACGGGGUAGAGAGAAUGAGGAAUUCUCUAAUGUCAGAAGAGGGAGAGGUCAUAGGAUGCAACAUCUGAGUGAAGGAACCAAGGGUUGGCAAGUGGGAAGCGGAGGUGAUGGGGAACGCUGGGGUUCAGACAGAGGGUCGAGAGGCAGCCUCAGUGAGCAGAUUGCCCUUGUGCUCAUGCGACUGCAGGAGGACAUGCAGAAUGUCCUUCAGAGACUUCACAAACUGGAAACACUGACAGCUUCAGAGGCAAAAUCAUCAACAUUACAGACUAGUAAUCAGCCUCCCUCACAGAGACCGUCUUGGUGGCCCUUUGAGAUGUCUCCUGGUGCAUUAACUUUUGCUAUCCUCUGGCCUUUUAUUGCCCAGUGGUUGGUACAUUUAUAUUAUCAAAGAAGAAGAAGGGGCCUUUUUUCUUCAUGUCUCAAGGGAUCUCCUGUUAUAUGAAAAUUGGUGACUUAAAAUGUCAGUCCUGCCAGGGAUGUGUUCACUCCUGCCAGGGAUGUGUACAGAAGAGGAUUUCUACAGAAGAUAAGGAGUGACCUGAUUAUUUAAGAUGUCACUUCUGCCAAGGGGGUUGCUUAAGAGCAUUUCUGCAGAGGAGAGGACUGAAUCCAUAAAAACUGAAUUGAAGAAAAUGGUAUUUAACUCAAGAGGACUGCUGGGCCUGGAUGACCUCAGGAUGAAAUGGACUGUGGAGCCCACAAGAUAAUGUUAACUUGUGAUGAUUAUAUUUUUUUCUGUUGUCCAGUAGUUUGAUUUGUGUACAUGUAUACAUAUAUGUAUUUUGAAGUACACAAAUGAUAACAUUUUAAGGACUAAUAUUGCUGAUACUUGAAUAAUCAAUCCCAACUAGGUUAUAAGUAGCGUACAUAGAUUGACCCUGCCCUUUAACUUGAAGGACAUUAAAUUAUUAAUUAUUGUUUGGUAACAUGUUUACCCGAUUAUCCACCAUAGAGAAAUGUAAGCUGCUUUUCCAGGGAACAGUUGUGAUCAUGAGAUCAGAUUUGUAAGUGAGUAUUUUUAAUUUUCUAAAUUAAAUAUGAGAAAGAAUGCAAAUUCCAGGAGUGAAUUUCAAAUGAGAUUAAGUGGACUUUAUAUUUUAGUCACUGGAUUGCCAUGCGAAGGAGUAGAAAGCUGCUAGAGAGAACUGUCUCCACAUCCACUUUGUGGGCUGCCUGUACUCUUUCUUGGCCAUUCACAGCUCUGACUUGCAUACUCAAGCAUCAUUACAAAGUAGGGCCCUGUGUACUAGGCUUUCUUUUAACUAAUGAUUCAUAGAAAAGACGCGUAACCUAUCGAUGAAAAUGAAGGAUGGGUUGAAAGUGUAUUCUGAGCCUGCAGCUCAUUAAAGGUUUCUAUUCAGUCAUUUACACUGAUUCCUUUGUAAUCGUUUUUCUUUUAACUGAGGAUAUCUUGUUUCUGCUUCAUAGGGAACUUUGAAAUAUAAAAUGAAAACUUACUUAUACUGUUUUUACAAAGGUCAAAAUGGAAACACGUGUAAGUCACUUUUCUGCAACUGGCAAACUGCACAGCCUGGACUCUUAACCUCCUAGUGCCUCUGUUUCUCCUUCUGGUAUAUUUGAGAUGAUCUAUUUCACAGCAUAUGGGAGGUUUGCAAGCUAGCAGGCCAUAUGCAUCCAUGUGGGUAAGGCGUGCCCAAGUAAUGCCGAUCGAAGUGUCUCUCCCCCACUCCCGACGUUUAGAUGAAGAAGAUGGUGACUUCAGUCCUUGAAGGCUUUGUUUGGAGUUAUUUUUCUUGUAUACCUUCCAAAAGUCCCUUGUACUUUAAAUAUUUCUCUGAUUCAAUGGCUUAGUAGCAAAUAAUUUUUAAGCGUACUUGGUAUGUUUGAUGUUGGGUUUAGCAUUAUGUGUUCAUGCUAAGUUUUCAGUAAGAGAAAGUAAUCCAUCCCCAGCAUAGAGGAUGGUACUUUGUUUGUCUGAUGAAAAAAAGUGUAAGAAUACAACUGGCUUCUCCCAAGACUCCUUUUUCCUUAUUUCUUUUCUGUCGUGUAACUUGAUUUAAAAAUUUUUUUAAUCCCUUCUUGAUUAAAAUGUGUCUGAAGAGAACUACUAAUCCUUGCCUUUUCAAAACUUUCCUCUAUUUAUGGAAAAAAAAUGAAGCAAGUGAGUGAAUUAUAUGUAAAAAUAAGGUUCAGACCUGGUGGAUCAGAGGUUAUU
Molecule: RNA transcript, 4276 nt
Organism: Manis pentadactyla (Chinese pangolin)
Lineage: Eukaryota; Metazoa; Chordata; Mammalia; Pholidota; Manidae
Gene name: acyl-CoA-binding domain-containing protein 5-like
Exons: 15
Source: RefSeq, a predicted model, not a curated record